GGGAGGCAGCAGUGGAGGAAUAUUGGACAAUGGAGGCAACUCUGAUCCAGCCAUGCCGCGUGCAGGAAGACUGCCCUAUGGGUUGUAAACUGCUUUUAUAUGGGAAGAAUAAGGUCUACGUGUAGAUCGAUGACGGUACCAUAAGAAUAAGCACCGGCUAACUCCGUGCCAGCAGCCGCGGUAAUACGGAGGGUGCAAGCGUUAUCCGGAAUCAUUGGGUUUAAAGGGUCCGUAGGCGGGCAUAUAAGUCAGUGGUGAAAGUCUGCAGCUUAACUGUAGAACUGCCAUUGAUACUGUAUGUCUUGAAUUAUUGUGAAGUGGUUAGAAUAUGUAGUGUAGCGGUGAAAUGCUUAGAGAUUACAUAGAAUACCGAUUGCGAAGGCAGAUCACUAACAAUAUAUUGACGCUGAUGGACGAAAGCGUAGGUAGCGAACAGGAUUAGAUACCCUGGUAGUCUACACCGUAAACGAUGAAUACUAGUUGUUUGGCUUUCGGGCUGAGUGACUAAGCGAAAGUGAUAAGUAUCCCACCUGGGGAGUACGUUCGCAAGAAUGAAACUCAAA
This 563-nucleotide ribosomal RNA is filed under the name uncultured bacterium. RNAcentral describes it as "bacterial SSU rRNA". It matches the Rfam family "Bacterial small subunit ribosomal RNA", at positions 343 to 905 of the family's 1533-position model. The record is from RNAcentral.